RNAcentral lists this long non-coding RNA (1455 nucleotides) under Podarcis muralis (Common wall lizard). RNAcentral describes it as "lncRNA (ENSPMRG00000013841.1)". Lineage: Eukaryota; Metazoa; Chordata; Lepidosauria; Squamata; Lacertidae. The record is from RNAcentral.
GUGCAUCUUGUGGGUCCCGAGGAGGCGUCAUGGCUAGCAGCAGCAGCAGCAUCGUGAAUGUGUCCGGGGCGGAGGGCGGAGAGAAGACUGUGAUCCACGUCAACAUCACCCAGGAGUCCUCCCUGGGGUCCCUCCUCAAGGCCCUGGCAGCCUGUAGGAAGACCCCCAAGCCUCGCCCCAAGGACCCCCAGGGCCCCUCCGCCCCUCCGAAAAAGGCUGGGUGCAAUGCGGAGCAGAAAGUGCUGGGGGGGACACAGAUCCUGCUUGGACUGCUCACCAUCGCCAUCGGGUGUGUCCUGUGCCUUGGACAAGGGGCUGACUAUUAUGGCUAUUGGCUAUUCGGACCACUCUGGAAUGGAGCUCCUUUCUGGUCGGGGGGCGUGCUCUUCGUGGCCGGUGUCCUCUCCGUUGUGGGCGACAGACGUGGUGGCCGCUGGAAAAUUGCUGCUGGACUCAGGAUCCUGCUGUUAGUCCUUUGCAUCGGGGCUCUGGUGAUCGCCGUCUUCUGCCUGGGCAACGGCCUCCGCCGGCUCUGUUGCUCCUUCCUGGGUUGCUGUGAGAACUACAGCCCCCUUGAGGACCCUGAAGUGCCCCCUCCGUAUGAGGAGCCGGCCAAGGAGGAGAACGCCGCCUGAGCCGUGGGGCAGAAGGAGCCGAUGCCUGCCUCUUGCCCCUUCCUCUUGCCCCCUUGCUUGCCUGGGUGGGGGGACCUUGUCCUGGUGAGCGAGCGGGGUGCCCUUCUCACCUGGAGCCCCCACCUGGUCCCAGGACCUAGAUGCUGAAACUCUGGCUGUCUCGCAGCUGCCCUUUCUUGCCCUUUCUUUCUCUCUGCAUAUCUGCUCAUUCCAGCCUCUUCCGGAAUUGGGGCUAGAAGUCACCUGCUAGAAAAACACAAAGCAGGGGGAAGCCCCCCCCCCAGUCAAGGUUUCCAGCAGAAAUCCAGAGCCAUUCAUGCCUUCCCUCCAUCCUGGCUGCAGUUGGGCUCUGAGCUGCCACUUCUGACCUUCCCUGGAAAGGGCUUCCCCGCCUGGUCCUUUGGCACUGCUUGAUAUUACUUGUUCAAACUUCUUCUUCCACAAGCCCCUGGUUUCCAGGGGGUGACAGAUGCUGCCUCUCUGCCUGCCGCUUGAUUUGUAACCAAUAUAUUCUCUAAUAAAAAGAUUUAUCUCUUCUCCUGGGAGUUUUGCUCAUUUGCUUCCAGUCCCUUUUCCAGGAAUGCCAGAGGUGGCUCUCUUCGCAGUUGCUGGCUCUGCCGUAAGAACCUGAGAAGAGCCUCCUGAAUCGGGCCAAAAGGGGCCCACCUAGUCCAGCAGGGGCCACACAGGGGCCCAUUGUGGGAAAGGCGCAAGCAGGACAUGAGCACAACAGCAGCACACCAUCUGUGGAGCUUGCUGCCACUGCAAUGGCUUUCAAAGAGGAUUGGACAAAUUCCUGACAGAGCUGAAGGCAGUCUAG